CAUCAGUAGCCGCGGUAAUACAGAGGGUGCGAGCGUUAAUCGGAUUUACUGGGCGUAAAGCGUGCGUAGGCGGCUUCUUAAGUCGGAUGUGAAAUCCCUGAGCUUAACUUAGGAAUUGCAUUCGAUACUGGGAAGCUAGAGUAUGGGAGAGGAUGGUAGAAUUCCAGGUGUAGCGGUGAAAUGCGUAGAGAUCUGGAGGAAUACCGAUGGCGAAGGCAGCCAUCUGGCCUAAUACUGACGCUGAGGUACGAAAGCAUGGGGAGCAAACAGGAUUAGAUACCCCGGUAGUCCCUGUCUCUUAUAC
RNAcentral lists this ribosomal RNA (304 nucleotides) under uncultured bacterium. Its description in RNAcentral is "partial 16S ribosomal RNA". It matches the Rfam family "Bacterial small subunit ribosomal RNA", at positions 506 to 807 of the family's 1533-position model. The record is from RNAcentral.